RNAcentral lists this ribosomal RNA (203 nucleotides) under uncultured bacterium. Its description in RNAcentral is "partial 16S ribosomal RNA". It matches the Rfam family "Bacterial small subunit ribosomal RNA", at positions 1298 to 1500 of the family's 1533-position model. The record is from RNAcentral.
UUGUAGGCUGCAACUCGCCUACAUGAAGUCGGAAUCGCUAGUAAUCGCGGAUCAGCAUGCCGCGGUGAAUACGUUCCCGGGCCUUGUACACACCGCCCGUCACACCAUGAGAGUUUGUAACACCCAAAGCCGGUGGGGUAACCCUUUGGAGCCAGCCGUCUAAGGUGGGACAGAUGAUUGGGGUGAAGUCGUAACAAGGUAGC